Non-coding RNA from Cyanistes caeruleus (blue tit), 1602 nucleotides. Lineage: Eukaryota; Metazoa; Chordata; Aves; Passeriformes; Paridae. The record is from RefSeq and is a predicted model, not a curated record.
UCAAGAGCCAUGUGCCUUCUGGACACAGCAUAAGCUAAGAGUCAGAUUUAAAAUAAAGGGUGUGCCCCAGAAAUGCUUUUUGUUAGCUCUAUCCAGUUUAAUCAAUCAACCCUUGUGUUGGAGUAAUGGUGUUUAAGAAGCUGACGAGCCCCAGGAGUGCCUUAUCUUCGGUGAAGUGUAGUGAGCUCUCCUGGGACAGCUACUCUGCAUGCAGGCAGUGCAAGCCGGAGGCGGAGCGAGCUGCGGGCAUAGCCGAAGGGCAGGGUGUCUGCACAGCCCAAUCACCUCCUCUCUCGGCCUGGAAAUCACAGCUCCUUUCUGAACUAUUUGCUGAAAGCGCCCAGACAUGGAGAGGUGUUUGACUUACGCAGAGUGAAGGCCCUGAACCUGAUUUAACCAGAGAAUGAGAAUUGGCAAAGCCCAAUGCCUCACAACCCCUGAAACAACUGUGUAUAGAAGAUUUAAGAAAGCUUCAUGCAGUAUUUCAGGCAAGGCAGUGUGAAUGACCAGAGCAUGUAGAUGAUAAUUAUCAGGUAUGAGAUUUUAAACCCAUAUUUGUUAGGUAAGUCAUAACAGUAGCUAAUUCUUGUCCAGAAUAAAUCCCAGUUUCUCUAUACAGCAAUGCCUAAAGACAGACUGUGAAGAGGGGCAAGCAUGAUGGGACAGUGCUCAGCCCGAUGAGUGCCAAUGAUGUAUGAGUGUGGUGGGGUUCCUUGCAUGUUUUGAGUGGCACUCAUUUAAAAGGAAACAAAUGCAUGAAGAGGGGAAGGAGAAUACUGAAGGAAGGACUGAGGCAAUGGUUAAGGGAAGGGCAUGAGAGGUGGAGGAGAGCAGUGAAUUCGAGGUGAAAGGGCUGAGAGAAAGAUGAAGUUGGAGGGAAAGCUAGUCAGCACAGGGCAAGGGAAGUCCUGCCACAGCACUGCCCCACGAGGCUGGCAUGGCUUUAUGCCCCAGCCAAAGCUCUGCUAAAUCCCUUUGUGCUUCUUGCCUGAUUUUACUUGGUGGUGAUGCAACCUGGUUAGUGACAUCACAUAAAUACACCUACAAGUGGUGUUGCAGUGUCUAGAUUGUGACCGGCAGAUUAGUCAGCGGUGUCACAAUCCCAUGUUUAUAUCAUUGUCUCCUGAAUGUGGAAGCGAUUGCUAUGGAGAUAACCAAGUUUUCAUCAGUGGAUCAGGCUGUUAAGAAAAAGCAUCCUUUUCACAGAGACAAACAGCUUUGAGUUAUUUGGAAUAAAAUCAUGGUGAACUCAAGUUAAGUAGAAAUAUCAAGUGUGGCACAUCACUAAGAUUUUAGCAGUUGGGGUGCAAUAUAAACAUGUGACUGAACUCCAGCACAUCCUGCAUCUGGGUCACCUAUGGCUACAGGGCAGUAUUAUAUUUUAUUGUAAAAGAAAAGUGUGCUCCUGUGCCAAAAAGCAGCUGUUGCGUCUGCACAUCCCAGAAUUCUAUAAAGAGAAGCAGGGAGCAUGAGGAGUGAAUGACACCCAAGAAUGUCAGCAGGCCUUCCCAGUACUUGAGAUUUUAAGCUGGUUUGGUAAUUUGUAUCAGAAACAAAGCAAGUUAUACUUGUUUGGAAAAAUGUAACUUCCUAACCUCUUAA